Molecule: ribosomal RNA, 517 nt
Filed under: Odontotermes montanus
Lineage: Eukaryota; Metazoa; Arthropoda; Insecta; Blattodea; Termitidae
Description: partial 16S ribosomal RNA
Rfam family: Bacterial large subunit ribosomal RNA
Source: RNAcentral
CUCUUCUUGGUAGUUUUUGAAGUAUAGCCUGCCCACUGACACGUGAGUUGAAGGGCCGCGGUAUUUUGACCGUGCAAAGGUAGCAUAGUCAUUAGUUCUUUAAUUGUGAUCUGGUAUGAAUGGCUUGACGAGAUAUGAGCUGUCUUAGGUGAGGAUUAAGUUUGUUGAAUUUGUAUUUUGAGUUAAAAUUCUUAGAUGUUUUUAUGGGACGAGAAGACCCUAUAGAGUUUUACAUUAGGCUAUAUAUUCUUUUGUUUGUUUUCCAUUUUAUGUAACCUUUUGUUUUGUUGGGGUGAUGGGAGGAUUUUCUUUAACUCCUCUUUUGUGUUGUUAUAUUGAUUUGUAUUUGUUUUGAUCCAUUUAUUUUGAUUAUAAGAUUAAAUUACCUUAGGGAUAACAGCGUUAUCUCCCCUGAGAGUUCUUAUUGGCGGGGGGGUUUGCGACCUCGAUGUUGGAUUAAGGUUUAUUUUUGGUGUAGGAGCUGAAUGGAUUAGGUCUGUUCGACCUUUAAAAUCUU